This 2952-nucleotide transfer RNA is filed under the name Triticum aestivum (bread wheat). RNAcentral describes it as "partial small subunit ribosomal RNA". The stretch from base 2391 to 2463 matches the Rfam family "tRNA". The record is from RNAcentral. Lineage: Eukaryota; Viridiplantae; Streptophyta; Magnoliopsida; Poales; Poaceae.
UCGCGGGGAAGACCUUUUCUCCGCCGCCGUUGCUUCCCCCCUCGCUCGGAUCGCGGCGCCGGCACGCGCGAAGCCGGCGGUGGCCGGCGCGCUUCCAGCGAGGUCGAUCCCGAGUGCUCCAGGAGCCCGUGUGAUCGUCCACGUCGUCGCCGGCUUACCCCGAUGGAUCGCCGGUACGCUCUGUUCCAUCUCCUCCCACCCCCCAUGGCCCAUCCCCCCAUGCACACGGCCAAGACCCCACCCAUUGGCAGAUGAUCCCCGCCCGCUAAGGUUCGUUCUCCGUAGCCGCGAUCUGAUCUGGAAUUGCCUGACACGAUUUGAUCCUUUUCAAUCGAUCAACCAUUUGGGAAGCAGGGAGUUCCUAGUUCAGAUCUAUUGGAAAUUUAUCGUAUGCUUAGCUCACUUCAGGCUUAGCAGAUACUCCAAAUGUUGUAACCAAGCUGGUCUUAGAGUUUGCGUCAUGGAGUACUUUGUACUGUUUGGUGACCUGUGGUUGCUUUCCUAGCGCGUCCCCUCUCGAUUAGGAUUGGGAACCUAUGAAUCAUCGGGCAUCUCUGGACGAAACAUCGAAGAUAGGGACGCACCCUUGCCUGAUUCGUGCCGCCCGGAUGUCAUUUGACAGUUCGCUGGUUCCCCCUCAGCAGUCUCCUUAGAGGCAGGAUUAUGAAUGAAUUUCCCCAGCUGCUAUGAUUGCUAUUAGCAUGGAGUCAGAGCAGUGAUUGAUGUUUCUGAUAUUAUUAUGCACAUACACCUAAUUUGUUAACAAGAUCAGAUGUGCUCUUGUCUUGGGUGUGCCUCACAUUUUCCUUUCAUUUGUUCCUAAUGUACCAUUGGGGCGCUCCCGGUGCAUUGCAUAUAAUAGAGGUAUAGAUACAGCUUUCUCAAUGGGUUGUGCCUUUGUGUUGUAUUUACAAGCCUCUAUUGUUGCAUAUGAUCAGAAGUAGCAUAUUGUUUUUGUGGCCAGCCAACUUGUGGAACAUGUGAAAUAGAAUAAAUAGGUUGAACUACUAGCAAGGCUUGCCAAUACACAGUUCUCUGCAAAAAUAAUAGAAAUGAACGCCUGGCAGGUACAACACCUCACCCUAAGUUCACUUAACAUUCAUGGGCAAAUAGAAAAAACUUACUGCUGAAUAAACAUAAGAGGCCAAAAGCAAGCAGAUACUGCAUUUAAAUCCAAAUUUGUACUGUCAUUGCGGUGAGGAACAUGUAAACCUGCAAUGCAAAAGACAGGGAUACACAGAGUGUAUGAAUCAGCUGAGAUUAUCUCUACUGUUGUUAUACGCUGCACAUGUAGCUACGAUAUCAUUUAACGGUAGUAUCACAUAAACUUGCUUCUAGUGUUUGUCCGAAAGCUGCUCCAUGUCCCCGACUGCCAGCCAUACCUGAACAAAAGUAACACCUUAAUCUCAGCGCACAUCACCGGAGACGGAAAACUAUGGUGCUCAAGAUGAGCAGGCAGUGCCGCACCCUCACUGGCGAAAGAACCCUGACCGGUGUUGGAGCAGCCCGUUCAGAUCCGCUGGAGGGCAGCAACCUCCGACGCCAGAGCAGGAUGCUAUCUGAGGGCAGCGGUGGUGUCUCCCCUGUCGGUUGCCACAACAGAAAGAAACUAGACAGAGAACACAAUCGCUGAAAUUGUACGGGAGCAGGGGCAAGGUUAGAGGAAGAAAGAUGGCAAACGGGAGCUUUGUUUUGGAGGUAGAGGCGCAGGGGAUGCAUCCAGCACUAAAUUGGCCCACAUAGGCAUCGUUUUUUCCCCCAUUUAGUAGUAUCUCUUUUAAAAUACGGGUUCCCCCUCUCUCUUCUUUAAUUAAUCUUCCGCAUCAUAUUCAGUCUUAUGUGGCAUCGUCGAGAUACUGACAGUGGAAGCAAUGGAAGUGCUCUUAGCAUGCAUUUCCUAGAUACAGAAGUCUGUGUACAGUACAAUAUUGUUAGUAAAGCCACCAUUUAGGAGUUAAUAAUAAAUCACCCAUAACUGUAUAUAUUGCAUAUUUGGAAAAUCUGCCGUGCUGUGGUUAUCAUUCUACAGAUGAGAUGGCAGUGCAGACUACCCCACUGAACAUGUCUUAGGGUUUACUUUACAACCCUCUGUUUUGGUUCCUAGUUUCACCCACAAACUCUAAAACCCGUUUGCAAUAACAACCUUCACACGAAUUAACCGAUUUAACCAGUUCUAUAGAUGUAUCAGUCAAGUGUGCUUCCCCUACUUACUGAUAAUUUGAUGUCAGUUCUGAUUUACCAUACCUUUGUUUCAGUCUUUGAUGUUACUGAUACUAGUUAUGUGUGUGCCUUAACCUUAUCCUUUGUCUCUGGUGCCCUGCCCUCUUUGAAGCUAGGACAUGGAUGUGGGUACCCCUAUGUAUCAAAAAUUGUGUAUGGAAACCAAGAAUGGUCAUAUAGCGAAGUGGAUAUCGCGUUAGAUUCCGAAUCUAUAGGUCGUGGGUUCGAAUCCCACUAUGAUCAAUUUUGUCUUGGGUUUUUGCACAGGAAAUUUCGCCUUGGCCUUUUGUUUUGUUUCUUGUGUUUUUCAGCAGACAGUGACAUAGUGGCAGCGCCCACAAGGUAUUCAAGGUUCUUGUGAACAUGAUUGGUCCCAAGGCCCCAGCUUCCUGCCAAGAGUAUUGUCACAGAGUGCAGAAUUUCGCCGGUGCUCAUGCAUCCCUAUCAGCCAUUUUUACCCCAAAUGGCUUAUCCAUUUGCUUCAUGUAACCCUUUGGUGACUGUUGCUGUAAAUGUAAUUUGUCCUACUUGUUGGGGAUGUGACCAUUCCAUCCCAGGGAAGACUUGGUUGGCAAUUGGCCAUCAUUAUCCAGAACACGCGGUCAAGAUGUUGUUGUUUAUGAAGUUGAUUUUGUGUAUUUCAUGUAGUACAGAGAUUGGAUUGGUUUUAGCACAGUUAAGUCGAACAUUUUCCAUAGAAUAAGUUGUACAUAAUAUCCAGUUAUCUUGCAG